CCAGGCCCCCAACCGGCGUGGGGUCCUGGGUCGUGACGACAGCAGAAUAAUUCGCACCAACUUUUUUGACAUGGUGUGGCUCUCGGGUCAGGUGCUCGACGAGCCUCCGUCUUCAGAAAGAGUCUAUAGGAGCAGACACAAGACCGGAACCAGAAAAAGGCAGAACCUCAGGGUGAGAAAGAGAUGGAAGCUGUCUCAGGUGUCUGAAGAGAUUGUCAGGCCAUCACAAGGCAAUUUCAUGCAGGCACCCACCAUUGGACUAAUGUCUAAUAAACUGCAGGAGAAAGUCUGAAUGCCAAGGGGAAAUUAACACUGCUCACCAAAAGUACACCAGCCAGAAAUAAAACCAGGAUCCAAGAACUGUAAGGUGUCCAUGUUGUCCACUAUGCCAGUCUUAUAUGUUGCCUUGUGUGUCAAAUUACCACAUAUCAGUUACAGAUUUGGUUGUGUGUGGUGUGCUUAUUAAUUAUUUACCAAUAGCAACGAAAUACUGCAAACAUUUUGUCUCCUUGAUAUAUUGUUUUUGGAAAUUAUGAUCUGUGUAUGUCUAAAAGCAUUUUAUCAUCAUAGGUAUUAAUUAAAAAAGGUUAUUUUCCAAUAUUUUGCAAACAUUGUUUAAAGCAAAUGGAAAAUCUUAAAAACAAUUUACACAAAAUGUAAUUGGGAGUCAUCAAAUUAAAACAAUUUCCCAUCCUUA
Long non-coding RNA from Polypterus senegalus (gray bichir), 697 nucleotides. RefSeq lists it as uncharacterized. The record is from RefSeq and is a predicted model, not a curated record. Lineage: Eukaryota; Metazoa; Chordata; Cladistia; Polypteriformes; Polypteridae. The transcript is spliced from 3 exons.